UACGAAGGGUGCAAACGUUGCUCGGAAUUAUUGGGCGUAAAGCGCACGUAGGCGGCUUGGCAAGUCGGAUGUGAAAUCCCUCGGCUUAACCGAGGAACUGCCCUCCAAACUGCUUGGCUUGAGUCCGGGAGAGGUGAGUGGAAUUCCCAGUGUAGCGGUGAAAUGCGUAGAUAUUGGGAGGAACACCAGUGGCGAAGGCGGCUCACUGGACCGGAACUGACGCUGAGGCGCGAAAGCGUGGGGAGCAAACGGG
RNAcentral lists this ribosomal RNA (253 nucleotides) under uncultured bacterium. RNAcentral's name for it is "partial 16S ribosomal RNA". It matches the Rfam family "Bacterial small subunit ribosomal RNA", at positions 524 to 776 of the family's 1533-position model. The record is from RNAcentral.